RNA transcript from Drosophila simulans, 7222 nucleotides. It is a transcript of the gene named protein turtle, with no coding region annotated. The transcript has 11 exons. The record is from RefSeq and is a predicted model, not a curated record. Lineage: Eukaryota; Metazoa; Arthropoda; Insecta; Diptera; Drosophilidae.
GCCGUCUCUUUUUCGAGUGGCAAAUCGAGCACUCCUGACGCAGAUUCAGUACUCAAUUGUUGUUCCACCACGGCGUACGUGAACGCGGACGAAAUCCGUAGAGUCCAAAGCAAUCAGAAAUCCCAUUUCAAUCGCAGCGUUCAGUGGCCCCCCACGUAAAAGUCAACGGUUUCAAAGUCCUUCGUCAAACGCAUACGCCCAGUGUACUCGAAGUGGAAAGUGUCAUAAAGUAUGCGAUUAUCCUGUAAACAAAGUGUAAAACGCGCCCAGUAAGCGCCGAAAACGAAAGGCGAACAGCAAACAACUCCCGGAUUUUACGACUUGAGCAAUCAACUCGCCUGGUCACUCACCAACUUGAGGACCCCAGGACUGUAGGACUCCAGGAGUGCAGGACUCUUGGAAUUGGCCAGUACACAACUAUAGAAUUGGAUCUGGGCACGUCGUAUAAUGAUUGCGCAAGUGAGAUGACGCCACUGCCGGUGAGAAGGAUACGUUAGGAGCGGCGUCGAACUAUGGGAACAGAGGCAUGGGCGUGUGCGCGGACCUCGGGUCUCAUCGAUGGUGUCGGGCAUUGAGCACCCAGCACAACACCGAGAAAUCGAAGGAGCAGCAGCAGCAAUCCCAGUCCUUGGAGAUCCCAGAGGAGCGUGCUUCCAGGUGUCGAGGAGCCAUUGACAGGACAACGACAACGACGAUUCCCGCUAGCAAAACGCUGACGGCAUCGCCAGCGAAAACGGCAGCUUUCACAGUGAAAACGACGAGGAGAAGACGAAGCCGACGAAGGGCAGAAGGCAGCUCCAUCUGCGUUCCCAUCCGGAGGGGUCAAGGGUCAACGCCAACGCCAACGAUACAGGUGCUCCAGUUCGUUUUGGUCUCGUUGCUGGCCCUUCUAGCGAAAAAUGCCCAGGCGCACAAUAUUCCAGAAGACGCCGUGCACAUCACGGCCAUCCUCGGCGAGGGCGUCAUCUUCAACUGCCAUGUGGAGUUCCCCAACGACCAUCCCGUGCCAUAUGUCCUGCAGUGGGACAAGAAGGUGAGCGAAACGGGCUCCGAUCUGCCCAUCUACAUCUGGUAUGAGAGCUAUCCGGAGCACAUCGAGGAGGGCUACAAGGGACGCGUGUCCCGCGUGUCGCAGGACUCGCCCUUCGGCUCCGCCUCGCUCAACCUGACCAACAUCCGGGAAUCGGACCAAGGAUGGUACGAGUGCAAGGUCGUCUUCCUCAAUCGGGACCCCAAGCAGCAUAAGAACGGUACAUGGUUCCACUUAGACGUACAUGCACCGCCGCGCUUUAGUGUUACGCCAGAGGAUAUUAUAUACGUUAAUUUAGGUGAUUCAAUUAUACUCAAUUGCCAGGCAGAUGGCACGCCCACGCCGGAAAUACUCUGGUACAAGGAUGCCAAUCCCGUCGAUCCCUCGCCCACGGUGGGCAUCUUCAACGACGGCACCGAGCUGCGGAUCUCCACCAUUCGGCACGAGGACAUCGGAGAGUACACUUGCAUUGCACGCAAUGGUGAGGGACAAGUCUCCCAUACGGCCCGUGUUAUAAUCGCGGGCGGCGCUGUAAUCAUGGUGCCUCCGACCAACCAAACGAAGCUCGAGGGCGAAAAAGUGAUAUUCUCCUGCGAGGCUAAGGCCAUGCCCGGCAACGUCACGGUGCGCUGGUACCGCGAGGGUUCCCCCGUCCGGGAGGUGGCCGCCCUGGAGACCAGGGUCACCAUCCGCAAGGACGGCUCGCUCAUCAUCAACCCCAUCAAGCCGGACGACUCGGGCCAGUACCUCUGCGAGGUGACCAACGGCAUCGGCGAUCCGCAGAGCGCCUCCGCCUACCUCAGCGUCGAAUAUCCCGCCAAGGUCACCUUCACGCCCACGGUGCAAUACCUGCCGUUCCGCCUAGCCGGCGUUGUCCAGUGCUACAUCAAGUCGAGUCCGCAGCUGCAGUACGUGACCUGGACGAAGGACAAGCGCCUGCUGGAGCCGUACCAGAUGAAGGACAUCGUGGUGAUGGCCAACGGUUCGCUGCUGUUCACACGGGUCAAUGAGGAGCACCAGGGCCAGUACGCUUGUACGCCGUACAAUGCACAGGGCACGGCUGGAGCUUCCGGGGUCAUGGACGUGCUCGUCCGGAAGCCGCCCGCCUUCACCGUAGAGCCGGAGACGCUCUACCAGCGCAAGGUGGGCGACAGCGUAGAGAUGCACUGCGACGCCUUGGAGGCGGAGGGCACGGAGCGACCCACCAUCAAGUGGCAGCGCCAGGAGGGCGAGCAGCUGACCGAGUCGCAGCGCAAUCGCAUCAAGAUCUCCGGGGGCAAUAUCACCAUUGAGAAUCUGAGGAGGGAGGACUUCGGCUACUACCAGUGCGUGGUCUCCAACGAAGUGGCCACCCUGAUGGCCGUAACCCAGCUGGUGAUCGAAGGCACCCAGCCGCAUGCACCAUACAAUAUCACGGGCAAGGCCACCGAGUCCUCGAUAACGCUGCAAUGGCUGCCAGGAUACAGUGGCGGGUCGGAGUACAAGCAGGACUAUACGAUCUGGUUCCGGGAGGCGGGCGUCAACGACUGGCAAACGAUCUCCGUGACGCCCUCGGGCAGCACCCAGGUGACCAUCAAUGGCUUGGCCUCCGGAACCACCUACGAGUUCCAGGUGGUGGGCCGGAAUGUCCUGGGCGACGGGAUGAUGAGCAAAGUGAUGACCGUGCGCACACUGGAAGACGCUCCGGCAGCGCCACGUAAUGUCAAGGCUGCAACACAACCGCCCGACUCAUUCUUUCAGCUAAUGCCAGACGAAGCUGGUCCCAAACCAGGACCGCCGAGGAACGUGUCCGUCACGGAGGUCUCGAACGGAUUCCUCAUCACGUGGCAGUCGCCGCUGGAGCGGGCGCACAUCGUCAAGUUCUACACCAUCAAGUACCGGACGGACGCGCAGUGGAAGACACUCAACCGGGGACAAAUCCGGCCGGAGGAGACGCAGUAUCUGGUGAAGAACCUGGUGGGCGGAAGGACCUACUACUUCCGGGUGCUGGCCAACUCGGAGAAGUCGUACGAGUCCAGCGACGAGGUGAAGUUCCCUGUGCCGGCACGUGUCAAGCACAAGGCGAUUACCGCCGGCGUCGUUGGGGGCAUCCUGUUUUUUAUUGUUGCGAUCAUUUUAUCGGUUUGUGCCGUAAAAAUUUGCAAUAAACGUAAACGACGAAAACAGGAAAAAGGUAACACUGAGGCUAAAGCUAACACACACACUUGAAAUGGUUUUUGAUGACAAUCACAACUUGAUAUUGCUAAUGAUAAUGCUAACGAUAUAGAUGUACCGAUACCGAUACCGAUCCGUGCGAUACUAAUAUCUUUAAUAAUCGUAACAGUAAUCGUAAUAUCCGAUGACGAUGUUCUUGUUGUUGGCGAACCCGAACCGAAACCAUAGUCGUUAUAGAUACGAGUGUAAUAACUCCAACUAACUUACUAACUAACUAACAGUCACUAAUUAUUGAUAACGUACCAACAUUCCGAGUUUCCGACGGCAGAGGCCAUCCAAUUAUCGAUAACUUUGAACGGAUUACCGAUAAUCGUUAUUUGCUGUGCUUUAUGAGUUUUGCUUAAAAUAGCCACUUCCGUUUCCCAUUCAGUUUCGAAGGAUUGGUUUGUUCGACAACAACAGCACAUUGGAAUUUGCAUACGAAACCGUUUGUUUGCCCAAAGUAAAAUAUUUGACAAAAUUUCUGAGCCGUUGAGGCAUUUGAUAUGAAAUUCUCCAUAAAUUAUGCCUGUCUGAGAUCUGUAUGAUUUGUACGUUUUCGUUGUAGUUGUGCAAGUAAAAUUGAGUUACAAUUUGGCAAAAGUUGCUGAAAAAUCUCUGUAUAUAUAUAUUUACAUACUAAUUGGAUUUUGGUUCGCUUCUCCUUAUUUGGUUAUCCUUAUUUUCUGAAUUCUGGUUUUUGAUUUCAUUAGCUCUGAGUUUCUCUUUAUCCGGGCCCAAAAACCCCGCCCCCUGUACCUCUUCUCGCGUCCCCCCGGUCCCACUCAUCCAUUUCCGUAGACAAAAGUGACUCCCCCAGAUCUUAGUUGAAAAUCGGCCACCAGACCACCGCCCCCUGAAGUUAUCAGUUUUGUUUGCAUUCCAUUACUUAAGCCUUCUGUUCGUAUCAUUGGGCCUACGUAUGAUUUCUGUAAACUCAAUCUGGCUUCAUAGCGCUUUGCAGCCUGUUUGUUUUCGAAUUCAUCGCAUGAACAUAUUACUUACUAGUUGUUGCCACUUUAGUUAAGCAUUAAGCGAAGAUGCCAAAUGCAAUCGAUUAAGCUCUGUCCCCGCCUUUUUCCGGGGAAACCCCUUUCGCAACCAAUAUGAAUCUGCCGGCCAAAGUUGAGCGGAAAUUGAAAAUGCCAGGGCCAGAGGACCAGUAUAUCCAGGACAUCCAUUAUUUGACGCCCGCUGGCUUUAAUGCAAUCGAAUCCAACCCGGACCGAAUGAAACCCAUCCAAACCGAACAAAACCGACCAUAUCGAACCUCUGUCUCUGCUUUUUGUUAUGGUUUUUGCUUUAAACUGUAUUUUAAGUGGAUUAAUUAAUGUUGCGUUGUUUAAAUCAAUUAUUUAUGUAUUCUUUCCGAGACCCCCCUUCCCCCACACACUUACACAACACAGAAAAAAAAUGAAGAAAUAUACAAUGAGCAGGGAAAUUGCGAAUUUUUAAAUCAAUGCAGCCCAUUAACUGUGAAAUAUGAUGAACAUACGAACGUAUUCUAUACAGAACACAUUGUUCUCAAUUUUAUCCUCAGUUUUUUUUCAUGCUGUGGUAAAAACACAUUACGAUAGAUUAACGUAAAAGCGGUAAUAAUAUAAAUGUGACAAGCUGAUAACGCUGAUGGUAGAAAUGCCUUUAUCUAUUAACCAUUUACAAGCAUGUUCUUGGCCAAAUCGUCGUUGUUUCUGCCCAGGGCUGAGUUCAUGACAGAUAAAGGCAUUUUCAGCAGAGAGCAUAGACCUAUAGAUCUAUAUACAUGGCGAAUGACCAUUUAUAUAGCACAAUACUGGGCAGACGUUUUUUGUAAACAAUUCACGCACAAAGAUGGUAAAAUAAGGCCCACAAACCAAGUCGAUAGAGCAUUCGAAACUAGAAAACCGAAUCCGAAGCAUAAAAUGAUCGCGUCGCUGAUCGGUUAUAUCCGGUACACACCCGCCCUUGUCCGCCCCACUUUUGGGACUCCAAACGGGUGCUAUUACCCCAUUUAAGCUAUAUAUAUUUUGGAGUCCGAGUUGGGCAGUCAAAAGGCGGAGCGACCGGGCCAACUAAAAUAUGAGUAAAGCGUAUAGUAAGACCCCCUAAAACCCCAACAUCGAUACAAGCAAGGGUAAGUUUUUGCAAUCAUUUUAAGUCGAUGUCGUGUACCACAGAUCCUGAGUACUGACAACUAAAGGUUAUUUUCAGACGAGUUCCCACCACCCCAACCAACCAACCAACAAUCCAAGCAAUCAAUCAAGAACCAACUAACCAACACUGACAUCACCACAACCAUCGAUUAAGCAUCUGCAUUCCACUAACAAUCCGCAAUGCUUGGGUCCCAAGUUGUCAGUGGCUCUGUUCUCGGGCAGAUCGUUCAGAUACUGCCGCACUUUCUCGAAUAUAUACAUAUAUAUAUCUCAAGCACCCCACACAUUCCAGAGCUCACAGAUUUCAUAAUUACCCAAAAAACACAUGCACUGCCAAGCAAAACAUGACAAAAAAGCCAAACAAAAACACUACUUCUCGAACACUUUUCGUUUUUUGUUUUGUGUGAAUCACUUGUACUUGGGCAAAAGUUUUUUGUCGCUUAUCCUCAGUUUGUUUUUUGCAUACCCAUAAUCCCCAUAUGAUCAGCAAUAUUUGGUUUUCGAUUUGCAUUAAAGUUCAGUUCCAGUAUCUCUCUAUCUCUCUUUUCCGUUGGCACAAUUCGUAACUUGACCAUUUAAAAGCCAUUUCACGUGUCAUUGUUUUUUUCCAACCAUUCGAAGCCAGAUCCUAAAUAAAAUACUGCGAAGAGCACACGGCGGCUGUGUAUACUUGCACCUCGGAGCGUGUGUAUGUGCCAUAUGCUAUAUGGUGUUUGCUCUAAUGCCGAGUUUCCGCAUAUAGCCGUAUAUGUAUGUGGGGGUUCCCCUUCGACGGCUUAGUUUGUCAUCGACCGUCAAUCGCAACUGGCCGGAGGAGCAUUAGGUUUCGAUUUAGUUGGCAUUGUUAUUCCACGACCCCGUAGUCGCCGUUCAAUUACCCAAACUCCGCGAAAUUGGCCCACUGGUUCACUAAUUGGCGCCUCCUCCUGCUCCACAUGUAAUUGCAAUGUAACCCCAAUCAAAUGAAACUAACCAACAACAUAGUUUAGUCUUAGUCAUCUAACUGCUAACUGGUAAAUGGCAACUGUUAUCUGCUAACUGGCGACUGUUUAGUGUCCCCUAGUAAUAGCCCAGUAACUGCUAAAAUUUAAACAAUCUAAACUUAUUAGCCACGACAACUGAAACAACAAGCGUGUGUAAUCUGACGAUGCUGGCAUGCAAAUUGGCAUAAUCAACGUGACCAGGUGCACAGAGAGAAAGAGUCGGACCGAGUUUGUUAAAAACCAAUUAAACAAGUAACAACAAAUUAAAGUAGCUAAAUCUCCUGCUGUUUUAAAGCUAUUUGUAAGGUGUGUAAAAGCAGGCAAUACUAUACUUUGUAUGUGGCAUGACGAAGAUACGAAAUGGUACUGCAUAUUAGUGAUUUUGAAAGCGUAGGGAUUUCUGUGGCACACCGACGUGUUAUAAUCAUACAUAUUAACCCAAAAGCCCCGUUCCAACCAUAUGAAAGACCUUUCUCUCUGCAGGACCUCAAUUACGCCAGUUUUGUCCUCGAUUUAAGCAGAAUUCCGAAAGAGCGUAAUCGCAUUUAUAUACGUCUAUAUGUAGAGAGCACCGUAGUAGAUAUGCAUAUGCAUAGACCUAUAACCGUGAACGUCGUGUGUGUAUAUAGAGUGUGUGUGCUUGGUAGCUGUACGUACGGUGUACGGGUAUUUUAUUUACCGGAUUGGACGGCUCACGCUGCACGCCAAAUUAAUUUUAGAAAUUAUACGUUUGCAGAGUUCAACAUGGUAGCUUGCAGGAUAACGGACGCUCGUAACAUUGCCGCCAAUAAUCAUCAUUUGCACAAUCGCAGUACGGGCUCAAUUUCCUCUGGUCAAGUGCCUUUAAAAAAUUCCAGGUCCAUCCUGUCAUAAUCAAAAUCGUA